AUUGAACGCUGGCGGCAGGCCUAACACAUGCAAGUCGAACGGUAACAGGAAGCAGCUUGCUGCUUUGCUGACGAGUGGCGGACGGGUGAGUAAUGUCUGGGAAACUGCCUGAUGGAGGGGGAUAACUACUGGAAACGGUAGCUAAUACCGCAUAACGUCGCAAGACCAAAGAGGGGGACCUUCUGGCCUCUUGCCAUCGGAUGUGCCCAGAUGGGAUUAGCUAGUAGGUGGGGUAACGGCUCACCUAGGCGACGAUCCCUAGCUGGUCUGAGAGGAUGACCAGCCACACUGGAACUGAGACACGGUCCAGACUCCUACGGGAGGCAGCAGUGGGGAAUAUUGCACAAUGGGCGCAAGCCUGAUGCAGCCAUGCCGCGUGUAUGAAGAAGGCCUUCGGGUUGUAAAGUACUUUCAGCGGGGAGGAAGGGAGUAAAGUUAAUACCUUUGCUCAUUGACGUUACCCGCAGAAGAAGCACCGGCUAACUCCGUG
Molecule: ribosomal RNA, 490 nt
Filed under: uncultured bacterium
Lineage: Bacteria
Description: partial 16S ribosomal RNA
Rfam family: Bacterial small subunit ribosomal RNA
Source: RNAcentral